This is a long non-coding RNA of Aphis gossypii (cotton aphid), 999 nucleotides long. RefSeq lists it as uncharacterized. NCBI's taxonomy places the organism in Eukaryota, Metazoa, Arthropoda, Insecta, Hemiptera, Aphididae. The transcript is spliced from 5 exons. The record is from RefSeq and is a predicted model, not a curated record.
CGGUGACACACACGUGAGGUCGAAACGGCCGAGCACUAUACCAACUCAAACGAGUGAACACGCGCGCACUGCACACGGCGUGUAAGAGAAAAAAAACCAAAACGUGGUUGACGGACGGAUCCGGACGUUACAACGAUACCGGUGGCGCGGGUGCUAAGAAAAAAUAUCGACCGGCCAAGCACGGACGUGCGUGGUGAACUGGUUGACGGCGGUCGGCGAUAGCCCGCGGCUGGAAGCGCGUCGUAUAUGCGAACAUAGACGGGGGGGAGGGGGACGGGGUACAACUUCGCGACCGUUCGACAUCCGACGCGCCAUACGGCGGAGCAACGGCGAUGUCGCACAAACAGGUAAUUACUCGGAGGUGAGCUGGGGUAAUUUAUUUGAUUAAACCCGGUUAAAAUCAAGAUUAAUCAUCAUGACAACAUCUUAUUAUGCACUAACAACAAGAAUGAUAAUACUAUUAAAAAUGAAAUACUACCAAGUACUCCAAUACAAAGCACCGGAACGUACGACGUGUCCGCACCUGCAUUUCAUCAACCACCACUGCGGGACGUAAAUGACGUGUCUCAGCUGACUCCCACAAAGGCGUUUAGUAAGAUACUAAGAUGGGAAGGUAAAUCUAAACCGUACGAACACCAGCCUCUAGAGAUUAAACAUCUUUUUUCUGACCAUCUUUGUGACAAGACGCAUACCGUUUUUCAUUUAUUGUCAUUCUACACCAAUGCCACCAAUGACCAUACCACACCGAUACCGCCAACAACCAUUCUACAGUACACCAGCCACGGCCAAUACACAUCCACUACACCGUCACUAUAACUAUCAAGACCUGGCCAACCAUCCGUCCACCAGGUCCGCGACAAUUGGGCAUUACCGGAGUUGUAAUUAACUGAUAGACUGAAUCCUCAGCGGAGAGCCAAUUUGACGCGGAUCUGGCGGAGGUUGAUUUUAGAUCGACCUCACGGGUGGGUGGUCGGUGUCUAUUGAGCUGUAACCGUUGUC